This 449-nucleotide ribosomal RNA is filed under the name uncultured bacterium. RNAcentral describes it as "partial 16S ribosomal RNA". It matches the Rfam family "Bacterial small subunit ribosomal RNA", at positions 29 to 523 of the family's 1533-position model. The record is from RNAcentral.
AACGAACGCUGGCGGCAUGCCUAACACAUGCAAGUCGAACGAACCCUUCGGGGUUAGUGGCGCACGGGUGCGUAACGCGUGGGAAUCUGCCCUUGGCUUCGGAAUAACAGUUAGAAAUGACUGCUAAUACCGGAUGAUGUCUUCGGACCAAAGACUUAUCGGCCAGGGAUGAGCCCGCGUAGGAUUAGGUAGUUGGUGGGGUAAAGGACUACCAAGCCGACGAUCCUUAGCUGGUCUGAGAGGAUGAUCAGCCACACUGGGACUGAGACACGGCCCAGACUCCUACGGGAGGAAGCAGUGGGGAAUAUUGGACAAUGGGCGCAAGCCUGCUCCGGCAGUGCCGCGUGAGUGAUGAAGGCCCUCGGGUCGUAAAGCUCUUUUACCCGAGAUGAUAAUGACAGUACCGGGAGAAUAAGCCCCGGCUAACUCCGUGCCAGCAGCCGCUGUAA